RNAcentral lists this ribosomal RNA (488 nucleotides) under Sphaerobacter thermophilus. Its description in RNAcentral is "bacterial SSU rRNA". It matches the Rfam family "Bacterial small subunit ribosomal RNA", at positions 365 to 860 of the family's 1533-position model. The record is from RNAcentral. Lineage: Bacteria; Pseudomonadati; Thermomicrobiota; Thermomicrobia; Sphaerobacterales; Sphaerobacteraceae.
UGCACUAGGGGCACACCCCAAGGAGCCACACGGCGUGGGAGAACGCGCGCUUUUGCGUGUAUACCCCUUUUAUGCGAGGAAAGGGGGCUUCGGCCUUGACGGUACCGCAGGAAGAAGGACCGGCUAACUACGUGCCAGCAGCCGCGGUAAUACGUAGGGUCCGAGCGUUGUCCGGAGUUACUGGGCGUAAAGCGCGCGCAGGCGGCGGUGCUGGCCCGGCGUGAAAGCCCCCGGCUCAACCGGGGAGGGUCGUCGGGGACCGCACCGCUUGAGGGCGGUAGGGGCUGGUGGAAUGCCUGGUGUAGUGGUGAAAUGCGUAGAGAUCAGGCGGAACACCCGUGGCGAAGGCGGCCAGCUGGGCCGUCCCUGACGCUGAGGCGCGAAGGCGUGGGGAGCGAACGGGAUUAGAUACCCCGGUAGUCCACGCAGUAAACGAUGCCGACUAGGCGUGGGGGGAGUUGACCCCCUCCGUGCCGGAGCCAACGCUC